This is an RNA transcript of Pyrgilauda ruficollis (rufous-necked snowfinch), 2816 nucleotides long. It is a transcript of the gene named oxysterol binding protein like 9, with no coding region annotated. The record is from RefSeq and is a predicted model, not a curated record. NCBI's taxonomy places the organism in Eukaryota, Metazoa, Chordata, Aves, Passeriformes, Passeridae. The transcript is spliced from 24 exons.
GCGGUGCCGGUCCGGUGCUAAGAUGGCGUCUAUCAUGGAGGGCCCGCUGAGCAAAUGGACCAAUGUGAUGAAGGGCUGGCAGUACCGCUGGUUCGUGCUGGACUACAACGCGGGGCUGCUCUCCUACUACACGUCAAAAGACAAAAUGAUGAGAGGCUCACGCCGAGGGUGUGUUAGACUCAGGGGAGCUGUGAUUGGUAUAGACGAUGAGGACGACAGCACCUUCACAAUAACUGUUGAUCAGAAAACCUUCCAUUUUCAGGCUCGAGAUGCAGAUGAGAGGGAGAAGUGGAUCCAUGCUUUAGAGGACACCAUCCUCCGCCAUACCCUACAACUUCAGGGUGUGGAUUCAGGAUUUGUUCCCAGCGUUCAUGAUUUUGACAAGAAACUUACUGAGGCUGAUGCUUACUUACAGAUCUUGAUAGACCAGUUGAAGCUCUUUGAUGAAAAACUCCAGAACUGCAAAGAUGAUGAACAGAGAAAAAAAAUUGAAGGUCUCAAAGAAACAACCAGUAGCAUGGUAGAAUCAAUAAAACACUGCAUUGUGUUGCUACAGAUUGCUAAAGACCAAAAUAAUGAGGAGAAGCACGCAAAUGGACUUAUAAGCACCAUCAACCCCGUGGACGCCGUGUAUCAGCCCAGCCCCUUGGAGCCAUCAGGGAUCAGCACCAUGCCUUCCCAGGCUGUCACACUGCCAGAACCUGCUCAGCUGUGCAAGUCAGAGCAGCGCCCCUCCUCUUUGCCAGUGGGACCUGUGGUAGCAUCGCUGGGGAACCAGACUCCAACACCAAAUAGUACAGGGAGUGGGCAGUCGGCACCUAGCAGCAGUCUCACCUCUCCAAGCCAUGUCAACCUGUCUCCAAACACAGUCCCAGAUUUUUCUUACUCAAGCAGUGAGGAUGAGUUCUAUGAUGCUGAUGAGUUCUACCAGAGCAGUUCUUCCCCAAAGAGAUGUAUGGAUUCUUCAGGGUCUGCUGCAGUCCUGACUCGGAGCAGCACAGGGAGCAGCCUGAAACGUCCAGAUACCACAGAGUCCCUCAAUUCUUCCAUGUCUAAUGGCACAAAUGAUGCUGAUCUCUUUGAUCCUCCCGACGAUCGAGAAGAUGAUGGGGAAGGAGAGUCGGUGGAGGAGCACAAAAGUGUCAUCAUGCAUCUCUUGUCACAAGUGAGAUUAGGCAUGGACCUCACCAAGGUGGUUCUUCCAACGUUUAUCCUGGAGAGAAGGUCGCUGUUGGAAAUGUAUGCUGACUUCUUUGCACAUCCGGACCUGUUUGUCAGCAUUAGUGACCAGAAGGAUCCCAAGGAGAGGAUGGUUCAGGUGGUUAAAUGGUACCUCUCAGCUUUCCAUGCAGGAAGGAAAGGGUCAGUUGCUAAGAAGCCUUACAAUCCCAUUCUGGGGGAGAUCUUCCGCUGCCACUGGGUGCUGCCUGGCACUGAAGAUGACAUGGAGCCAGUCUCAGAAGGACCAGUCCCCUGGGUCAGUAAAAGCAACGUCACCUUUGUGGCAGAGCAGGUCUCUCACCAUCCUCCAAUUUCAGCAUUUUACGCAGAGUGUUUUAGCAAGAGGAUACAGUUCAAUGCUCACAUAUGGACCAAGUCCAAAUUCCUAGGAAUGUCUAUUGGGGUCCAUAACAUAGGGCAAGGGUGUGUUACAUGCCUAGAUCAUGAUGAACACUAUAUUUUGACUUUUCCUAAUGGCUAUGGAAGGUCUAUUCUCACUGUGCCAUGGAUAGAGCUUGGGGGGGAGUGCAGCAUCAAUUGCUCCAAGACAGGUUACAACGCUUCCAUCGUCUUCCACACAAAACCAUUUUAUGGAGGAAAGAAGCACAGAAUUACAGCUGAAAUUUUUUCUCCAAAUGACAAGAAACCCUUCUGCUCCAUUGAAGGAGAAUGGAAUGGGGUCAUGUAUGCAAAGUACUCCACAGGGGAGAAUGCUGUCUUUAUAGAUACCAAGAAAAUGCCUACAAUAAAGAAGAAGCUUGUAGCACUCUGCUCCCAUAAAAGUCUCCCUUGCCCUUUCUCUUUGAAGCUUAUGGAAGGAUGUCACCUACAACCUGAAGAUCAGAGACAUCGACGCGGCCACGGCCGCGAAGCACGCGCUUGAGGAGCGGCAGCGAGCCGAGGCCAGGGCCAGGAAGGAGAACGAGACCUCGUGGGAAACCAGGCUGUUCCACGAGGACGGCGAGUGCUGGGUGUACGACGAGCCGCUGCUGAAGCGCCUGGCUGCCGGCAAGCACUGAGGGCCGCGGAGCCCGGGCUGGGCAGAGGCGGCAGAGCCCGACCCCCGCAGCCAUCGCACCGUGCGCGGCCCGGCCCCGCCCUGCAGCUGCAGCGGCUCCUUUCUCAGGGAUUCUGGACUUACUGAGACAGACAAAGCAAUUCACGAGAGGCUGAGCAGCUCCGGGCAGGGACCGGCUCUGGGGGCAGGGGCCGGGCUCAGGCCCUGCUCCUGCUCCCUCUGGAGCGGGGAGAGGCUGGGCCUGGGGCACAGACACUCUGUAACCACUGUGAAUGCCACCGGUGGGAGCAGUUGCAUAAUAAUCCUGGGUCCUACAUAUUUAAAAAGCAAGGAACAAAAUGCAAGGUGUCAUUUAAAUCUCGCUGAUGUUUGCAAUGUGUAAAUAUGAGGGUUCCUCUGAUGGGACAGUUUGUUAGAAAAUGCUACAUCAAUGUUAUCUUCCACCUGUACGAUAAUCAAAUCUUUUGGCAUUUCAGUGUCUUGCCCAAAAUAACUGUUAUUUUGAGAUUGAAAUGUAACCAUAGAUAAUUCUACCCAAUGCAUCUUAAAGCUUCAUAAAAUAGAUUUUUCAAACUUC